UUCCACAGCUAUUGUCUGCAGCUGCUCUUUUGGUGACAGCUGUGGUAUUCUUCUGUGGGAUAGAAACUGUUAACACAGUUCAACACCUCUUUCUUAGCAAAACAGAAAGUUGGCAGAGUUGUGUCAGACAUAA
RNAcentral lists this small nucleolar RNA (133 nucleotides) under Carlito syrichta (Philippine tarsier). RNAcentral describes it as "Small nucleolar RNA SNORA41 (ENSTSYG00000021407.2)". It matches the Rfam family "Small nucleolar RNA SNORA41". Rfam says of the family: ACA41 is a member of the H/ACA class of snoRNA that guide the sites of modification of uridines to pseudouridines. The record is from Rfam by way of RNAcentral. Lineage: Eukaryota; Metazoa; Chordata; Mammalia; Primates; Tarsiidae.